RNAcentral lists this long non-coding RNA (522 nucleotides) under Trifolium pratense (red clover). Its description in RNAcentral is "long non-coding RNA (TPRA_LNC004020)". The record is from RNAcentral. Lineage: Eukaryota; Viridiplantae; Streptophyta; Magnoliopsida; Fabales; Fabaceae.
CUCUAGUCCCUAAAAGCAAUUUUGCAACUACAAUAUAAAGUGAUUUUGCCAAUGCAAAAUGGAGUGCAUGCUUGUGUUGAAUUAGCCUAUUGAUAAAGGUUUCAAAGGAAUUCUCUAAGGAAGAAACGAUUCAACUAAAGAAAAGUACAAGAAACUAACUCUUUGAAGUUUGAACUAUUUCUCACAGUAUUUAUGUGGUAUAUAUGGAAUUAAGCUGACCACCUGUGUCAUAUAAGGAUCCUUGCAUUGCAAUCAAUGGAGGAAAGCAUAACAAGUUGGUAUGUGUCAAUAUUUUUUACUGCAGGUGGAUGUAUAAGAAUCAUAUAGCACUAGAUUUUUGUUGAUAAUUAUAAAUGCAAAUCUUGGAUUUAGUAACUGAAUACAGGUGGCCUCUCUGGUAUGCAGUCUAAAAACUUGUGGUGGUGAUUGUUGAUAGCUCUUUCAGACAAUAUUAUUAUGUAACAGGUAUGCUCUGUACUGAGAACCUUGAAAGAUAUUUUCAUUCAUGCUUGUUGAGAUACC